This 498-nucleotide ribosomal RNA is filed under the name uncultured bacterium. RNAcentral's name for it is "partial 16S ribosomal RNA". It matches the Rfam family "Bacterial small subunit ribosomal RNA", at positions 28 to 507 of the family's 1533-position model. The record is from RNAcentral.
GACGAACGCUGGCGGCGUGCCUAAUACAUGCAAGUCGAACGAGAGCGACCGGUGCUUGCACUGGUCAAUCUAGUGGCGAACGGGUGAGUAACACGUGGGUAACCUGCCCAUCAGAGGGGGAUAACAUUCGGAAACGGAUGCUAAAACCGCAUAGGUCUUCGAACCGCAUGGUUUGAAGAGGAAAAGAGGCGCAAGCUUCUGCUGAUGGAUGGACCCGCGGUGCAUUAGCUAGUUGGUGAGGUAACGGCUCACCAAGGCCGUGAUGCAUAGCCGACCUGAGAGGGUGAUCGGCCACAUUGGGACUGAGGCACGGCCCAAACUCCUACGGGAGGCAGCAGUAGGGAAUCUUCCGCAAUGGACGCAAGUCUGACGGAGCAACGCCGCGUGAGUGAAGAAGGUUUUCGGAUCGUAAAACUCUGUUGUUAGAGAAGAACAAGUGCUAGAGUAACUGUUAGCGCCUUGACGGUAUCUAACCAGAAAGCCACGGCUAACUACGUG